AUAGUUACCUGGCAGGGGAGAUACCAUGAUCACGAAGGUGGUUUUCCCAGGGCGAAGCUUAUCCAUUGCACUCCGGAUGUGCUGACCCCUGCGAUUUCCCCAAAUGUGGGAAACUCGACUGCAUAAUUUGUGGUAGUGGGGGACUGCGUUCGCGCUUUCCCCUG
RNAcentral lists this small nuclear RNA (164 nucleotides) under Piliocolobus tephrosceles (Ugandan red Colobus). RNAcentral describes it as "U1 spliceosomal RNA (ENSPTEG00000015327.1)". It matches the Rfam family "U1 spliceosomal RNA". Rfam says of the family: U1 is a small nuclear RNA (snRNA) component of the spliceosome (involved in pre-mRNA splicing). Lineage: Eukaryota; Metazoa; Chordata; Mammalia; Primates; Cercopithecidae. The record is from Rfam by way of RNAcentral.